UCGGGGUCUGCAUAUGCUUUGUAGGAGACUUCUAAAGAUCCCCCGGUCUUUCAAGGGUAUGCCCAUGGUGGUUGUAGCUGCACCGACACUCUCUCCUGCAGGUGAAUAUUGGCUUAUGUGUCUUAGGCAUUAUUGCCAUGGCCAGCACCAAUUCCCUGAUGUGGACCUUCUUUAGCCGCGGGCUCAGUUUCUCUAUGUCUUCGGCCAUUGCGUCUGUCACAGUGACUUUUUCGAACAUACUUUGCUCGGUGAGUAGCCUGGUAGGUGGGCUUGUUCUUAGGGUCCUGGGUAAGUUGUCCUUGGGAAACCCCUGCUUUUCCAGGUACUAGAAAGGACAGGAAGUAAAACAGGUUGGACUGGCUCCAGGCAAGAGACAGUUAAACAUGGACAACUUAGGAAUGAAACUUGUGUCACUCUGGGAUAGCAUCAGCUAUCUGAAGUUCCUUGGCAAGAACUGGAACAUUAGCUAUGGGGUUUAAGGCUCUAGUCAAGGGGUUGGAGAUUUAGCUCAGUGGUAGAGCGCUUGCCUAGCAAGUGAAAGGCCCUGGGUUCGGUCCUCAGCUCCGGGAAAAAAAAAAAAAGGGGGUCUGGUCAAGGGAACCCAGUCUUGAACUGGAAGACAGCCUAGCUUGGGUUUAUGAUAACUGGGUACUAUGUCCUGGCCAUACCUGCUGGCCUCUUGAGCCUCAGUGCUCAAUUGGAGUAAACUCUGACUUCCACAGAGGAGACAGAAAUACAUGGAUUGAUCAUGGAGGUGGUUGCUGGAUGUGAAGCACCAGACUGUUUUCUACUCCCCCUCAG
This 801-nucleotide long non-coding RNA is filed under the name Rattus norvegicus (Norway rat). RNAcentral's name for it is "long non-coding RNA NONRATT028220". The stretch from base 498 to 566 matches the Rfam family "tRNA". Lineage: Eukaryota; Metazoa; Chordata; Mammalia; Rodentia; Muridae. The record is from RNAcentral.